This 498-nucleotide ribosomal RNA is filed under the name uncultured bacterium. RNAcentral describes it as "partial 16S ribosomal RNA". It matches the Rfam family "Bacterial small subunit ribosomal RNA", at positions 29 to 523 of the family's 1533-position model. The record is from RNAcentral.
AUUGAACGCUGGCGGAAUGCUUUUCACAUGCAAGUCGAGCGGCAGCGCGGGGCAACCUGGCGGCGAGCGGCGAACGGGUGAGUAAUGCAUCGGAACAUGUCCAUGGAUGGGGGAUAGCCCGGCGAAAGCCGGAUUAAUACCGCAUGAGCCCGAGAGGGGAAAGGGGGGGACCGCAAGGCCUCACGUCGAUGGGUUGGCCGAUGCCCGAUUAGCUAGUUGGUGAGGUAAUGGCUCACCAAGGCGAUGAUCGGUAGCUGGUCUGAGAGGAUGAUCAGCCACACUGGGACUGAGACACGGCCCAGACUCCUACGGGAGGCAGCAGUGGGGAAUUUUGGACAAUGGGGGCAACCCUGAUCCAGCCAUUCCGCGUGAGUGAAGAAGGCCUUCGGGUUGUAAAGCUCUUUUGUCCGGAGCGAAACGGGGCGCGUGAAUAUCGCGCUCUUCUGACGGUACCGGAAGAAUAAGCACCGGCUAACUACGUGCCAGCAGCCGCCGUAA